UUAGCUCUUAUAAGCCUCUCCUCUCCUCUCCUCCUUCCUCUAGCACCGAUAAUCCACCGCCUCCUCCUGCUCUCUUACCUCCAUCUCGAGCCCCGAUCUGGAGGCAAGCGAGGAGGAGGAAAGAUGACUCCAGGUGUUCAGAUCUCUUCCCCUCUCCUUGUUUAUUUAUUUUUCUUUCUAUUUUUGGAAACUUGACUCCAGGUGAAGAGGAGGAGGAAAAGGAGGAGGGAAGAUGGUGAGGGGGAAGACGGAGAUGAAGCUGAUAAGCGUCGCAUAUUUUUAGUUUAAAGAGGCGAAAGGCUGCUGGCGUUACAUCGCUCCCUUGCCCCACUCUCCGCGGCGGCAUCCAUCUCCUCUUCCCCCUUGCAUUUUUUGAACCACCAGAAGGCACCGAAUAAGAAGGGCAAGAGAAACAGAGAGAGAGAGACAGGCCAUGUCUGCGUCGACCAACCUAUGGGUUCUCCUCGGGCUGGGCUUCGCCGGCAUCAUCCUCAUUACGCAGCGGCUGAAGCAUGCCAUCAAACAGGAUUUCGGGGCUGUUCGUCGAGCGGUUCGAGCUCCUCCCUCCCCCUCAGCCCGCCCCCCAUCCCUUGACCGGCCUCUCCUUCGCCGUUGCCGACAUGCAUGUAAUCUUAUCCUGCCCCUCCCCUUAUCCUUCUUACUCCUUGUUCCAAUCCUGUUUUCCCUCCCGUUUUAAUCUUUGGUUGGAUUUUCAUCUCUCCGUUCUCUAUUGAGUUCUGAUUUGGUUUGAUAUUAUGUUCCUUACUGUUCUGACGGAUUCAUAGUAGAGUUUGUUGUUAUGAGGAGACAAGUGGUAUAAUGAGCUGAUAGUAUACCUACAGCUGGAGUUUAAUCAAUUCUUUAGGUGGUAUGUAAGACGUUGCAAGAUUAUUUGGUUGUUGCUUUGAAAUAAUGUACCGCAUACUCGAUCUGAAUUUUUUUUUGUUGUUUUGAACAACAAUUCAGCCUUGAAAAGUUUAGACAACUCAAUCAGUCCUGCAGCCCACGCUAAGAAAUAUUAUUAUUAUUAAAUCACGCGGUCUCCA
Molecule: long non-coding RNA, 1046 nt
Filed under: Phoenix dactylifera (date palm)
Lineage: Eukaryota; Viridiplantae; Streptophyta; Magnoliopsida; Arecales; Arecaceae
Description: long non-coding RNA (PDAC_LNC013042)
Source: RNAcentral